RNAcentral lists this long non-coding RNA (1840 nucleotides) under Capsicum annuum. Its description in RNAcentral is "long non-coding RNA (CANN_LNC007679)". The record is from RNAcentral. Lineage: Eukaryota; Viridiplantae; Streptophyta; Magnoliopsida; Solanales; Solanaceae.
GUCAAUAACGAUUGAUUCAUUAAUAUUUUUGAGCGCGCAGGAGAAAAAAGAUUCAUAUGAAGCAUGCUAUUGAGACUUCGAAUCACUUAAAAGUGACUUUAAAGGUAUGUUUUUCUGAAUAUUAUUUUCCAUUCAUAUUAAUUUUAUUUAUAUUGUUAAGUCAAAAAUUCCUAAUCUUUACACUAUUUCUUGACAAUUGUAUCCCAACAAAAAUACGGACUCUUUAGCUUUGGUAUCAUUAUAGCCUUGUUAGAGUUUAAAAAUAGAUUAUUGAGUACAAUUGGAGUAAUUUAUUUAAUAAACUUAUUGAAUGAGUAAUGAAAGAUAACCUUUUCGUUCCUAGGUGUGCACUUUAGUGUGAAUGCUUGCUUUUAUUAUCGAACUAAAUAAGUCCUACUUUUUAAUGUACUAACUCCUUUAAAUAAGUAAUGCUAACCAAUUCUUUUUAUUGAUGUAACUCCUUUAAUUAACUGGUUAGCAGUACUUAUGUUAGUAAAUCUAUUUAGGUUAGAAAAAAAUAUAAAAGCACCUAAUAAUGAACAUAACUUACUAUAACUAUAAAUUGCGAGUUUGAUUCUCGGCUUAAUUUUUCAAGUCAAAUUAUGAUAUUUAAUGUUUUUGGUGUAUGCACUAGAUUAAUGUGAUCUUUAUUUUUAUACCGUUCUUAAAUUUUUCUUUUUUCUUUUUAUAUUUUUGAUGUGUGAAAUUUUUGUUUCAUGAUCGAAAAAUCUUAGAAUUGAACCUAUUAUAUUUUUAAAAUUCUCAGUUGAUCAUAUCUAAUCUUUAUUGAAACUUCAGAAAAGUUUUUCUUAUAAAAAAUUAUAUCUCAUGAGGAAACAACUCAUCUAUAUGAAUCCGGCACUGAAUGGGGUAAGUCUCUUAACAAACCAAAUUUCUUUCAUGUAUUUUUUUUUAACUUUCAUACUUUGCCAUCAUUUUUUUAUCUACUAAACUGUGAUCAUUAGUGUACGCAUCAUCUUUCUAUUUACAGUCUACUUAAAUCCAUGUUUAUGACCAACAUGGAUUGUAAUGCAGUGAUGAGACUGUUCCACCCUUAAACAAAGGUCUUGAGUUCGAGCCCUGAGUAUGGAGAAAAUUCUAUUAGGAGCGCCAAUCCCAGAAUGAGCCCUGCAGUGCGUGAUCUGAAUUAGUCGAAACUUCAAUCGAAAUAUCGAACAUCAGGUGAAAAAAAAAAUCUAUGUUUAUGCUCUAUCUCAAGCUGUGCAAUGUAAUUAUAGAAAGAAAAAAAUAAUCAUAUAAAUUCUAAGAAAUAAGAGAAAAGACAUAACGUAAAGAAAAUUGGUAGUUUCAACAUGUGCAAAUAUUUGUGAAAAAAAUAAUUUAUUUUCUUUUUCAUUAUCUCCUUAAGUCUUUUUGUUUUCCUCAUUAAAAGUUGUGGAAUAUAACUUUGAAACGUGAAUGAUUAAUUUAAAACACCACAAAAAGUACUAUUUCGAAAUGGACUCUACUCAGUGCUAGGGUAUAAGGUUAAUUUUUUUGAUUUAUUAAUCAUGUAUUUUGUAAUAUCGUAGAUUUUAUGUGUAAUUUAAUUUUAAGAUUAUUGCAUGCUCAUGAUAUAUUGAUUUUCAGAAAUUUGUGUUUUUUUUUAUAUAGGUGCAAUUGAUAGAAGGGUUUGAAGGCCACAUAUUAGGGUAGAAGGUUAAAUUUCUUUUGAUUUAUGAAUCGUGUUUUUUGUUGCCGUAACUUUUAUAUGCAACGUAGUUCUAAUAUCGUUGCAUGCCUGUAGUAUAUAGAAGGUUAAACUACGGAUUAGGAUAGAAGGUUAGUAAGUAGUUAUACUUUGACUUGAUUAUCGGUAGAUUUAAACUUGAAAGGAGUC